Molecule: transfer RNA, 85 nt
Filed under: Actinomycetota bacterium
Lineage: Bacteria; Bacillati; Actinomycetota
Description: tRNA-Leu
Rfam family: tRNA
About the family: Transfer RNA (tRNA) molecules are approximately 80 nucleotides in length. Their secondary structure includes four short double-helical elements and three loops (D, anti-codon, and T loops). Further hydrogen bonds mediate the characteristic L-shaped molecular structure. tRNAs have two regions of fundamental functional importance: the anti-codon, which is responsible for specific mRNA codon recognition, and the 3' end, to which the tRNAs corresponding amino acid is attached (by aminoacyl-tRNA synthetases). tRNAs cope with the degeneracy of the genetic code in two manners: having more than one tRNA (with a specific anti-codon) for a particular amino acid; and 'wobble' base-pairing, i.e. permitting non-standard base-pairing at the 3rd anti-codon position.
Source: RNAcentral
GCCCGGAUGGCGGAAUUGGCAGACGCGCUGGACUCAAAAUCCAGUAUCUUCGGAUGUGGGGGUUCGACUCCCCCUCCGGGUACAA